RNA transcript from Bombyx mori (domestic silkworm), 2285 nucleotides. It is a transcript of the gene named 23 kDa integral membrane protein, with no coding region annotated. The transcript is spliced from 6 exons. Lineage: Eukaryota; Metazoa; Arthropoda; Insecta; Lepidoptera; Bombycidae. The record is from RefSeq and is a predicted model, not a curated record.
UGCUCUGUUUGACCCGCAUUAAUUAAUAAUAUCUGAUUUAAAAAUAUUUUUGGGAGGUCCAAAGAAAUAUUGAAAUCUCAUGGUACCGAGUAUUGAUGCAGAGAACGCAGAAUGGUACAGAAAUAGAAGUGUCACUGGUCUAUUUAUAAACUGGCUACCUAGUUUUGAAAGUCUAACUCUACGCUAUCACUAGCCGUAGAAAGUAGGUUAGAUUACAACUGUUAAAGAACUGUUAUCGUUCGAGAUAAUACUGACAGCGGUAUAUUACUUCGUAGGAAUUAAGGAGUCAUAUAAUGUACUCAGAACGAAUCUCUUCUGUGACACACCUUCCUAAAUUGUUUCGAAUUUAAAGAUAAUACGAUAAGUAAAGUUGGUAUAGAUAAAAUAUUGAAUGUUUAAAUCCGUAACGCGCGCAGUACUGUUGCAUCAUUGUUGGUUGCGGGAGCACGAAACACAAACAUUCCCUGAGGUGGAACGACCGGGGCCUUUGUUUUGAAGCGAGCUUAAAAGAUCAAGUGACAUGUGAACGCAACACAGCACAAUGGGUCUCUCGACGAACUGUUGGAAAUAUUUAGUGUUAACUUUUAAUGUAUUAUUCGCUAUGUCAGCUGUGGUGCUGUUCGGAGCGAGUGGAUUUUUGUUGUACAAACUUUUUAUAUACAGACAUUUUAUUGGUGUGAAUGUGGAGUAUCCCGCGAUUCUAUUAUUGAUGAUGGCGAUCAUAACAUGUUCUAUAGCAUGGAUAGGAUGGAGGACGGCUGUAUCAUUGCACCAGAUUCACAUUAUCAUAACCGGAAUCCUAAUAGUACUAGUGGUGAUCAUAGAGUUCACUUGCUUUGUGUGGGCUAUGGUGGUGUGGGACAAUGUGGAGAUAGACGUGAAAACUACCAUGACGCAGUUCUUCGAAGACACCAGGGGUGCUGAUGCAAAUUCCGCUGAGUCCUUAAAAUGGGAUCGGUUACAUGUAAAGUUCGAAUGCUGUGGGGUCACAGGGCCAAAUGAUUACGCGACAUCAGGCCACGUACCGUUCUCUUGUUGUGGCCAAGGUCCUCUCGAUUCCCUACACAAGCCCUACGCAUCAGAAUGCGCCGCGUUAUAUCUCAGGGGGUGCGGAAAGCAGUUACACGAAUACACAAGGCAACAGUUGAUGCUUGUGUCCAUGACAGCAUUAUGUGCUUCUAUAAUACAGAGCACCGGGAUAUUCUGCACGUUCUUCUUAGCGCAUGCCAUUAGGCAAAGUCGACGAGCGUCCAUCAGGAAUUCUACUGCAUUGAGGGAAUCAACAUUUGCAGCAGCGGAUGACUCGCUUCUGUCCCCUACAGCUCCUGCGCCGACCCUGCCAAAGUAUUAGUUUUUUUGUAGGACAUAUUUACUCUUUAGAAUUUUUUAGAAGUUAGAAUUUCGGUAACGUACGGUCUUAACUAUAGUUUAAUUGGUAAGCAAUAAUUUAGUAAUUCCUAAUCAGAUUUUUAUAGCUGCAAUACCAAUUUAAUGUUCUAUUGUCAAUAUUCGGUUGGAAAUUUAGUGAACUGAAUAUCGCCAAAAUACACUGUUGCCAAAAACACGUUAUCAUUAAUUUUGGAUGUAAAACUUCAUGGUAAGAAUGUUCAAUUUCACUGUUGAAUUACAGUAAUGCCAACUUAAAAAUACUCAAGCUUAUUACGAGACUGCAUUUGAUAGUGACAUUUUUGAUUUAAUGUUGUUUUUUUUUAAUAAGUACGAGUAUAUAAUCUGUAAUAUGGGGAUAAGACAGCUGUAGGAAUGAGCCUUAGUUAAAUCUGUGUCUCGGAUGUUACAUGGAUAUGAUUUCAGGUCACGUAAUAUUUAUGGAAUAUUUUUAUUAGUUAUAGUAUGUCUUGUGAGCCCGUAUUGGUAGGUACCACAACCCUGCCUAUUUUGGUAGCAGUUUUACUAUAGGAUUGAGAUUUAAAAACAAGUGUGUCAAUGUUUCUUUUAAAACGUUUUAAAUUUUUGGUGAUUUGCAUAGAUGAUAGAUAAUUCGAAUUUUUCAAUUCCCUAAAUAUGUUUAAGUCUUGAAAGUUUAUAUAGCGCGAUCAAAUUUUGUCAUUAGAAGUAUUUUUGUUUGCAUUAAGAUUAUUGUUUUGUUGAAUCCAUAAAUUAAAAAUUUUAAAUGUGAUUUUACGGUUGUGUUUCAUUACUUUUCGUUGUAUUUGUUUCAUUUAGUUUAUUUAUUCUAAUAAAAAUUAUCAGUACUUUGUAUACUGUAUUUUGGACACUUUUAUACCUGUACGACAAAUAAAUAAAUAAACAAUUUAAGUAAAGUU